AGAAGAAGACGUCUCGAGUGCAGGAAACAUAAGAUAAACGAUGGACAGUGAAGUUAAGAAACUAGAAAUUUCCCGUGCAGUGGACACAAGAAUAACUGAUAUACGCUUCAUUUCAUCGGCCAAGGAGAAAAGCCUGGAACUGCAAUGGGUAAGUAACAUGGUUUGUGAUUCCCAAAUCAAGGCUUUUCCUUAAACCGCAACAGAGUGAACACGUAAAUCUGGAACUCGAGUAGUGAAAUUUAAGAACAUUGAAUGGAUGCAUGUUUAAACCCAGAUCUAGGAGAAAACCCUGGAAUCCCAAAAGAAAUGGACUAUGACUCACAAACAAAUAGAAGACCCGGAGAAGAAAGUGACCUAAGAAAACCCCGAUCCCAAAUUGGCUGGAGUCACAAGGCGGCUGAAACUUGGGAGAAUUUCGACCACCCUUGAUGGAUGACAACAAUAAGACAAAAUAACCAUGAAGUACUAAUUAAUUCAGCAGGAGAAUCAGAAACUCCAAACUUUAAUGACCCAAUGAAGUUAACUGAUGCUGUAUACAAAUCAACACCAAAAGUACAUAAUAGAAGACACAAAGAGUACUUUGAAGGGACAGGCAGUAAGAUUUGAAGUCAGAAGAACAUUUAAAGGACUUUACCAGGAAGAGUUGCCAUAGGACAUCCAUCAUAUAUAGUACACCAGUAUUCCUUACCAAUACCAGAAUGACAUAGAAUUUUAUACAGUUUAUUUGAAGUAAUAGCAGAAAACAAUAUAAUGUUUUUAACUUCUGACCAGAUCGGCAGAAUAGACCUUAGAAAUGCAAAGGAAUCAUCACUAGACUCAAUUCUAUCUUCCCCGACUCCAAGCCACUCGGAAAUUCAGGACCAAACACAGGAAGUGACCACUUACCAGUAACAGUAAGGGAGAACACCAUACAAAGUCCCCUCAAUCAAAAGAAAAAAAUGGUGGUUCAGUAACAAAGGGGGAAAGUCAACCUCAUGCUAAGAAGUACUACAUACCAAGACAGAUGAAAUAUAAAUGAAACAGGGAUCAAUUCCUUCAAACAACAGAGAGAAGAUUCCAAGAAACAAGAUCCAGGGAAUAUAGACAUAAGUUUAAAACCCUAUAUAAGAAGAAAGAAGAAGAAGGAGGCUAAAAGAAAGGUGUGACUGCUGCCCGCCAAACUACAACCGAGGACCCAGUGAAAUGCUUGCAAAGGAUUACUAUAGCCCUGUUGCAGAGAGAGGAAAGACAAGGCAUCAGCAAUAUGAUCUCUGCUUUUCAUAUGACCCUGGAUAGUCACAGAUCAUUGUAAUGGAGCAGGUCGGAGUUCAAGCCAGUGAAUGGGCCGUGGCUGGACAGGAACAGCAGUCAAGUAUGGAAGGCCCCCACGACAAUAGCAAGAAGAGUGACAGAAGAAAUGCGCCUUCGGGAAGUUUCGAAAGAUGAAAUAUCAGGAGGAGAACUUCUGAUGCAGGUGUUGCUGUCACCAUUUAUGCGUGUGAUUGCAAACUCAAGAUCAUUUAUGUAUUCAUAUAUAUAUAAAGAAAGAUGACUCAGAGAAUAUAUGUCUCAUCGUCUUUCUGUCAUAGUUGUAAUGAGUUUCUUGCAAGAAGUUAGGAUUCUGAAUUAUAAUAAUACUUGCAACAAGUAUUGAUGCUCUCACAAGAAGAGAUACUUGAGAUAUAGUGCAGAUAUUAUACAGACCUGUUUUAUUAUCUGCAAAAGGUGAAGUAGGAUGUAGGAUUCAUUAGUGCAAAUAAGGUAAGAAGGCUGUUGUAGAAUUCUCCCUAGGUUGUGUAUAUUUUCUUAAUCUUUGGUUCCUUUCCUAAGUAUGAUCUUUGUUAUACUCAGGGCCGGAUUAUGACCUUUUGGGGCUUCUAGGCUAAUGAAAUUAUGGGGCCCCCUCAGAAUAUUUUUUACUCGUGAUAUAUUUACAGCGACAUUUACAUAGCUUGAAGUAAACUUAUUGCAAAUUCUUUAAAUAAACUAACAUAGCUAUCUUUUGUUUGUCAAUAAAAGUAUCCUUUAAAUACCACUAUUUUACUAUAUUUCAACACAACCGUAGUGAAAAAAAAAUACGAUUUUUUAUAGCCAAGCCCCUCAAGCUUGAGGGGCCCGAGGCUGCAGCCUAUACUAGCCUAUAGGAUAAUCUUGUAAUACUUGUUUUUAUUAAGUCUGCUGUGAUAAGCAUUUGGCUGUAAGAAAGAGCAUAUUACCAUAUGCAUUUUUAGCCUUUAAGGAUAUUGUUAAAUACUCUAGUCAUAAAUAAUUUUUGCUUCCUUGUCGUUGGAUCAUAGUAAUGAAGAAAAGCUAAGAAAAAUGUAUGAUAGAGGAGAUUUAAAUAUUAUUUUGUAUAAUUAGCAUUUUGGUGUGCACAUCGGACUUGGAGAGUUAGGAAGUAAAGCGUUUUGCCUUGUCCUUUGGGUAAGGCAGGAUAUUAGAUGUAUGCUGACAGAGCACUUUGUUGAUAGUCACUGUAUUCUCUAGUUCUGUCACUCGUGUUUUCAAAAAUUAAAUCAUAUUGGACAUUUUACUGCUAUGGACUGUUCAGAUUUAAAUAAAGAAAAUUAAUUGAAUAUUAGUUUGUAUUCAGUUAGGAAAUGUGCAUAUUGUCAGUAAGGAAAUGUAGAAAUUAUGGUGAACAGUUAUAGUAUUCAUAUAUUUUGAUGCAUAUUUUUGUAUUUUGGUCAGUAAUGAGCUAGAUAGUGCAUAUUGGAUUGUGUCAGAUGUAGUAAAGAUAUGAAUGAGAAUGAAUAUCUUCACAAUACAAGAUAUGCAUUUGAUCAGUUUCGAUUAUAUCAUGUAUUGCUAACAAAGAUAUAAUCGAAACUGGUCAAAUACAUCUCAUUUUGCAAAGAUGUCCAUUCUCGUUCAUACCUUUUCAAGCAUAUUAUAUAUUUUGUCAUACAUAUUAUGCACCUGAACAAAUUAUUCAGGUCUUACAUAAUUUUCACUUGAAAGUAUUUAAAAAAAAAUUCAAUUGAGGAUGGACCAGUAAGUGAAAUAAAGAUGGAAUAUUUAAAAAUA
Molecule: long non-coding RNA, 3006 nt
Organism: Penaeus indicus
Lineage: Eukaryota; Metazoa; Arthropoda; Malacostraca; Decapoda; Penaeidae
Exons: 5
Source: RefSeq, a predicted model, not a curated record